GUGGCCCGAUUAGAUAUUAUAUUUUUUAUUAUUUCCUUAUAAGGUCCCGAAAAAAUAUUUGUUACAUACCAUUCUAGGGCCAUAUUAAUAUUGAGGAAAAUGAAUCGGGUCCUACUUAGGACCCUAUAAAUUUUUUUACACGGGAUAUCGCGCCCUUAAACAAAACUGACGAUUAUAAUGCGGCAGUUUUUACGUACGUCACUAACGAAUCUCGUGCAGAAAGUCCUGCAAAUUACCUUCGCGUAAUCCCGUAAAUACCGGUUACAGCGGGGACUUUAAUGCAAGUUUAAUUUCGCGCAAUUAUGCUAUAUUGCGUAAAUUGGCUCUGGUCCAGGAGAUGCAUGUCGUAUGCAUUUCCUCUUCUGCGGAACGGAACAGUGCUAAAAUAAUCAACGAGACUGUUGAGAGACGGUUUACGUAGCAAAGCUUGGAAUUAGUCGCACGUGGCAACAAAAUAUUUUUCAAUCGCAUUAAUUCUACAAAUUUCUGUAACAUGUGUUUUAUUUUUCAGGUUCUCUCUGAGAUCUUUAAUGCCUCUUCCAUUACUUCUGUGGCGUAAUUUUUCGGAGCUUUGAGCCAAACAAAACGCGUUCUCCAACUGGGUCAGUUUAAUACUUUAUAACCAUGAAUCACGAAUCCUUUCGCGAGAAAUUUCGCGCGCAGAACAAAUUACUCCUUUCGAGCUUCUAUUCGGACUUGAUGAUGUAUAACCACAAUUCGCAAUUUCAUCGACUAAAGCGCGCUUUUAUUUAAUGACUUGACUUGUUUAAAUGGCUUUCUCUUCCGAGAAUUUUCAGCCUUCAAAUCUUGGAAUGUUCUCAGUAUAUCUCAAAAUGCAUAAUUUCCAAAGACACCUUUGGUGUAAUUUUAACCUUUCGAUAUGGAUAAAGUACAUACUUUAAAACAUUCGUAACUUUAUCUUGUAUCCUUGUUUGAAUCGUUGUAUCGUUGUUUGAAAAAUGAACAUGUUUCGUAACCGCGUCUAAUCACGUCAAUUAUCCCAAGAGGAAUCCAACUGUGCGUCACGCAAUUCGAAUGUGAGACGAGAGCUUUUUUUCCGCGUUUGUCAACCAGACAAGUGAAUGUAAAUUGCAAAGUGCUCGGGACAUCCCGCCGAGAAUUGCGCUGUUUGCGCCAAUCGCAUUAAGCAACUUUGUAAUCGGAGUCGAUGAAACGAGUUACUUUCGCAGGGAACUCGGAGGACAAGUCGUACUCGUCCGCAAACUUCUCAACGUUCUCAUAGAACACCGGGGCUGCCACUUCGAAAUUUCAUGGAGAGUACACAAAAAUCCAAUUGGACGAAUUAACGCAUCUGUUGAUCUUACGGAUAAUUACGUCGCGAUCGCGCCGCGAUAUCGCCGUGGAUCAUUAAGCUGGAUCCUUCAGAGCGGAGUUUGCGCUAGACGCAGGUAAUACCCCCUACAUCUCCCACUUUACGUGGCUCCCCGGAAAAAA
Long non-coding RNA from Ooceraea biroi (clonal raider ant), 1455 nucleotides. RefSeq lists it as uncharacterized. The record is from RefSeq and is a predicted model, not a curated record. Lineage: Eukaryota; Metazoa; Arthropoda; Insecta; Hymenoptera; Formicidae.